RNAcentral lists this ribosomal RNA (274 nucleotides) under uncultured bacterium. RNAcentral's name for it is "partial 16S ribosomal RNA". It matches the Rfam family "Archaeal small subunit ribosomal RNA", at positions 473 to 747 of the family's 1478-position model. The record is from RNAcentral.
AAACCAGCACCUCAAGUGGUCAGGAGGAUUAUUGGGCCUAAAGCAUCCGUAGCCGGCUCUGUAAGUUUUCGGUUAAAUCUGUACGCUCAACGUACAGGCUGUCGGGAAUACUGCACAGCUAGGGAGUGGGAGAGGUAGACGGUACUCGGGAGGAAGUGGUAAAAUGCUUUGAUCUCUCGAUGACCACCUGUGGCGAAGGCGGUCUACCAGAACACGUCCGACGGUGAGGGAUGAAAGCUGGGGGAGCAAACCGGAUUAGAAACCCCGGUAGUCC